Molecule: ribosomal RNA, 467 nt
Filed under: uncultured bacterium
Lineage: Bacteria
Description: partial 16S ribosomal RNA
Rfam family: Bacterial small subunit ribosomal RNA
Source: RNAcentral
GACGAACGCUGGCGGCGUGCUUAACACAUGCAAGUCGAACGGAAAGGCCUCUUUCGGGGGGUACUCGAGUGGCGAACGGGUGAGUAACACGUGAGUAACCUGCCCUUGACUUUGGGAUAACUUCAGGAGACUGGGGCUAAUACCGGAUAGGAGCUCCUGCUGCAUGGUGGGGGUUGGAAAGUUUCGGCGGUUGGGGAUGGACUCGCGGCUUAUCAGCUUGUUGGUGGGGUAGUGGCUUACCAAGGCUUUGACGGGUAGCCGGCCUGAGAGGGUGACCGGCCACAUUGGGACUGAGAUACGGCCCAGACUCCUACGGGAGGCAGCAGUGGGGAAUAUUGCACAAUGGGUGGAAGCCUGAUGCAGCAACGCCGGGUGCGGGAUGACGGCCUUCGGGUUGUAAACCGCUUUCGCUCAUGACGAAGCUUUGUGUGACGGUAGUGGGUAAAGAAGCACCGGCUAACUACGUG